AACGCGAAGAACCUUACCUGGGCUCGAAAUGUAGUCGACCGUCUCAGAGAUGAGGCCUUCCCGCAAGGGACGGCUGCAUAGGUGCUGCAUGGCUGUCGUCAGCUCGUGUCGUGAGAUGUUGGGUUAAGUCCCGCAACGAGCGCAACCCUCACCGUUAGUUGCUCACCCGCAAGGGAAGCACCCUAACGGAACUGCCUCAGAUAAUGGGGAGGAAGGUGGGGAUGACGUCAAGUCCUCAUGGCCUUUAUGUCCAGGGCUACACACGUGCUACAAUGGCCGGUACAAAGCGUCGCGAACCCGCGAGGGGGAGCCAAUCGCAAAAAGCCGGUCUCAGUUCGGAUUGCAGGCUGCAACUCGCCUGCAUGAAGCUGGAAUCGCUAGUAAUCGCGUAUCAGAACGACGCGGUGAAUACGUUCCCGGGUCUUGUACACACCG
Molecule: ribosomal RNA, 435 nt
Filed under: uncultured bacterium
Lineage: Bacteria
Description: bacterial SSU rRNA
Rfam family: Bacterial small subunit ribosomal RNA
Source: RNAcentral